RNAcentral lists this ribosomal RNA (254 nucleotides) under uncultured bacterium. RNAcentral describes it as "partial 16S ribosomal RNA". It matches the Rfam family "Bacterial small subunit ribosomal RNA", at positions 524 to 776 of the family's 1533-position model. The record is from RNAcentral.
UACGGGGGAUGCAAGCGUUAUCCGGAUUUAUUGGGUUUAAAGGGUGCGUAGGCUGUGAGGUAAGUCAGCGGUGAAAUGCCCCCGCUCAACGGGGUGAAGUGCCAUUGAUACUGCCUUGCUGGAAUGCGGAUGCCGUGGGAGGAAUGUGUGGUGUAGCGGUGAAGUGCAUAGAUAUCACACAGAACACCGAUUGCGAAGGCAUCUCACGAAUCCGCUAUUGACGCUGACGCACGAAAGCGUGGGUAUCAAACAGG